This 254-nucleotide ribosomal RNA is filed under the name uncultured bacterium. RNAcentral describes it as "partial 16S ribosomal RNA". It matches the Rfam family "Bacterial small subunit ribosomal RNA", at positions 524 to 776 of the family's 1533-position model. The record is from RNAcentral.
UACGUAGGGGGCGAGCGUUGUCCGGAUUCAUUGGGCGUAAAGAGCUCGUAGGCGGUUUGGCAAGUCGGGUGUGAAAUCUCUGGGCUCAACUCAGAGACGCCACCUGAUACUGCUGUGGCUAGAGUCCGGUAGGGGAGCAUGGAAUUCCUGGUGUAGCGGUGAAAUGCGCAGAUAUCAGGAGGAACACCGGUGGCGAAGGCGGGUCUCUGGGCCGAUACUGACGCUGAGGAGCGAAAGCGUGGGGAGCGAACAGG